This 2582-nucleotide long non-coding RNA is filed under the name Mus musculus (house mouse). RNAcentral describes it as "maternally expressed 3". The stretch from base 520 to 621 matches the Rfam family "Maternally expressed 3 conserved region 2". The record is from RNAcentral. Lineage: Eukaryota; Metazoa; Chordata; Mammalia; Rodentia; Muridae.
ACAGAAGACGAAGAGCUGGAAUAGAGCUCGCCUCGGCUCUGCUGGCCUUGGCUGCAGCUCUUCCAGAAACCCGGGGCGCCCACAGAAGAAUCUCUUACCUGGCUCUCUCUUCAGGGAUGACAUCAUCGGCUCACACCAGUCUUCCAGGACCACCUUCUGGAUGCCAAGGCUGCUGCUCGAGUACCUGCUGUGCACCUCUACCUCCUGAGCCAAGGAGCACGGAUUCCAGGAACCCACUACCAUACAGAGCAACUCCUUGUGGACCCCCCUGGGAUCAGGACAGCGAGGGACAAGCGACAAAGAGGAUCAUCAGUGGCCAGCUAGUUUCUCUGGGGUUCAAACCUUGAACCAGUGCCCUAGUGAGGGGGCACUGGCCAUGGCCCUUGACCUUUGCUCUGCUUGUGUCUUGAGUCUGAGCCCUUUCCUGUACAUCUGUGCUCGUGUUCAUCUGCUAGUGAACUGGAGUGCUGCCCUCCCCGAGGAGGGUCGUCCCUUGUGACUGAUCAUGCUGUCCUAACAAUGUCCUGAGCAAAAGGGUCCCUUUGGGAACCUCUCAGGAGGGGGACCCGGGUCAGGGGCGACCAGCAUCUUGCUGGCAACUCCGUGGGUGGGGUGGGGUGGGGUGCUUCCUUCUGGAAUGAGCACGUGGCUGACCCCCCAAGGCAUGUCCCCUCCCCCUCCUCCACCCACCUUCUCGGAGAUGUCCCUUUUGGGGUAGUGGGGACAUUAGGAGCAACCUCCUAGGGUUGUUGUGAGAAUUAAAUGAACUGCAGCAGCCUGAGGCAGGGCUGGGCAGAGACCUCAGCACAUGUUUGUUGAAAGGUUUGCAGGUGGAUCUAGUCCUCCCGUUCAUGGCUCAUGUGUCUCAACCAUUCUCUCGCAGACUCCUGCAGCCCCUAUGCCCAGGGCUCUCCUUGCGCCAGCCCCGGCUUCUCGAGGCCUGUCUACACUCGCUGCUUUCCUUCCUCACCUCCAAUUUCCCCUCCAACCCACUGCUUCCUGACUCGCUCUUCUCCAUCGAACGGCUCUCGCUCAGCUGGCAUUGCCCACCGGCCAUGCCGGCUGAAGAAAAGAAGACUGAGGACCCCAGGAUGCCCAGCGCGAGGACCCCAGGAAGCCCAGCGCGAGGACUCCACCCACGACGCCCAGCGCGAGGACUUCACGCACAACACGUUGCAACCCUCCUGGAUUAGGCCAAAGCCAUCAUCUGGAAUCCUGCGUGGGACCCUGGACACACGGACACAGACACCUGCCCCCAGGACCCUCCAACUGUAAAUCGAUUGGAAGCGCCCUUGUGAGCUGGGGCCUUCAAAGGGCUGAGGAGAAAAUGCAGGCCGAGAGACCAGCUUCUCAAAUAGGCUUCAAGCCUCCAUGACCUGAGCUCACCCCCUGGAAAUGUCUGGAAAACAUAAUGGGCAGGUUUUCUGUCUUCAAAGUUUCCAUCAAAACCUCUUCAAGUUCUUUAUUGUUUAGGACUGAGACACUUGGGGACAGUAAUGGGGACUUUCUUUUGUAUCUGUCUUGAAAGGCCAAAAUAUUUUUAUAUUGCUGUAGACAAAGCCACCUAUUUACAAAUGGACUCUUGUUCCGUCGUUUCCCACCAGGAAGACCGUACUAUGUUUGUGUCUCUAUGUAUUCUGGGGUCUUGAAACAGGUUUCUCAUGGGGAUGGCCAUUCACUAGAGCCCAGAGGGGCAGAAGGGGAAGUGUCUACCCUGCCAAGGGGGUCUGGGGAAGGAGGGGGGCUAGUCUCAGAUUUGCUCCUUGUAUGUCUAGGGUAAACCCUGGGAGAAUCUGGUGGUAAAAGAACAUAUGCUGUGUUUGCCCCACAUCUGCCAUUUGUGUGUGUUUCUGGGCUACGGGUUUGCACACUUUGGUGGUUAACAUGGUGGGAGGAAGUAAGAAGGGCCAAGAGGGCACGGGUGCUCUGGUUUUCCUGCUGGGAGGCUGUUUCACUGGUGUGUGUUACAUCACAUAAUGCAUGUUUAGCUGGGUGAGUGACAACAGUAUGAAGGGACAGAGAAACAAAUAGGUGUAGAAAGAGAGUCACAGAGCACACAGUCACCAUUCUGUGCCCAGGCGUUCAUUAAAUGUUCAAUAGAAUGCUGAGCUCUGAUAGACAGAGCGGGCCAUGGACACACUGGUAUUGGGUCAUCAUGGACCUAAGGAGUUUUUUUAAUUGAAGAAGGAAUCUUACAUAACAGAAGAAAGAAUAAGAAGAGCUGUCAAAACGAGCUCUGAGGUUUUUGAAGCCCCUUAAUAUAAACAGACAGACAAUGGCGUGAUCAGGAAAGGGAGAAAACAAACAAACAAACAAACAAGAUGCUUACAGAAAUACGAGAGGACGUGUGAGCAUGCAAAGAGAACCCAGCUAGGUUAGUAUCGGGGUGCUGGUGGAUCGUUAAUCCUGUCUGGGUACCCCAGCUCCAAGGGGAUGAGAGGCAGCAAGUGAGAGGACACAUAGGAAACUGUAACAAGACAGAGGCGAGCAGAUGGGGAGCUUCAGCGGAGUGUUAAGCUAGGCUUCGCAAUCUGACCACUUAACUCUCCCAGCAAAGAAAAGAAAGGCUUAAAUACUAAAAA